CCCUUAGAUGUCCUGGGCUGCACGCGUGCUACAAUGAUACGUGCAACGAGUUAAUCCUGUUCUGAAAGGAGUGAGUAAUCUUAUGAAUGCGUAUCGUGCUUGGGAUUGACCAUUGUAAUUAUUGGUCAUGAACGAGGAAUUCCUAGUAAGCACAAGUCAUCAGCUUGUGCUGAUUACGUCCCUGCCCUUUGUACACACCGCCCGUCGCUCCUACCGAUUGAGUGUUCCGGUGAAUUAUUCGGACUGCAACAGUUAUCUGUCGCGGAAAGUCUUGUGAACCUUAACACUUAGAGGAAGGAAAAGUCGUAACA
This 311-nucleotide ribosomal RNA is filed under the name uncultured eukaryote. Its description in RNAcentral is "partial 18S ribosomal RNA". It matches the Rfam family "Eukaryotic small subunit ribosomal RNA", at positions 1470 to 1796 of the family's 1831-position model. The record is from RNAcentral.